GAUCAUGGCUCAGGAUGAACGCUAGCUACAGGCUUAACACAUGCAAGUCGAGGGGCAGCAUCAUCAAAGCUUGCUUUGAUGGAUGGCGACCGGCGCACGGGUGAGUAACACGUAUCCAACCUGCCGACAACACUGGGAUAGCCUUUCGAAAGAAAGAUUAAUACCGGAUGGUAUAGUUUUCCCGCAUGGGAUGAUUAUUAAAGAAUUUCGGUUGUCGAUGGGGAUGCGUUCCAUUGGG
This 238-nucleotide ribosomal RNA is filed under the name uncultured bacterium. RNAcentral's name for it is "partial 16S ribosomal RNA". It matches the Rfam family "Bacterial small subunit ribosomal RNA", at positions 15 to 245 of the family's 1533-position model. The record is from RNAcentral.